AACGAACGCUGGCGGCAUGCCUAACACAUGCAAGUCGAACGAGACCUUCGGGUCUAGUGGCGCACGGGUGCGUAACGCGUGGGAAUCUGCCCUUGGGUUCGGAAUAACAGCGAGAAAUUGCUGCUAAUACCGGAUGAUGACGUAAGUCCAAAGAUUUAUCGCCCAAGGAUGAGCCCGCGUAGGAUUAGCUAGUUGGUGAGGUAAAGGCUCACCAAGGCGACGAUCCUUAGCUGGUCUGAGAGGAUGAUCAGCCACACUGGGACUGAGACACGGCCCAGACUCCUACGGGAGGCAGCAGUGGGGAAUAUUGGACAAUGGGCGAAAGCCUGAUCCAGCAAUGCCGCGUGAGUGAUGAAGGCCUUAGGGUUGUAAAGCUCUUUUACCCGGGAUGAUAAUGACAGUACCGGGAGGAUAAGCUCCGGCUAACUCCGUGCCAGCAGCCGCGGUAAU
Molecule: ribosomal RNA, 450 nt
Filed under: uncultured bacterium
Lineage: Bacteria
Description: bacterial SSU rRNA
Rfam family: Bacterial small subunit ribosomal RNA
Source: RNAcentral